CAGGCUGCGGGAGGGUGCGUCUGUGGCCUGCAGACGGGGAGCAACGUCUGCUGGACACGGGGCUUCGGAGCCCCAGUGAGUCGCAUCUGCAGGGGGCUGCGUAGUCGGCUCUGUCCCUCCGUGGGUCCUCGGGGCCUGGUGUCCCUGUUUCUAAGGGAAGGGUGGAAAGACGAUGCCCGAGUCCCCGCAGUGCACACCACCGCGGCCCACCUGUGCCCAGCGUCACUUUCUUGUUCCCAUUUUUUGUCCCAACCUCAGACGAGGGUCAACAAGACCGUCCAGCUGUGCUUGGGCCCCUGGGGAAAUGGAGGCAAAGCCCACAGAAGCACAGGUGUGUCCCGUGGGCAGCUGGCCGCAGAGCAGCAUCCAGGCUGCGGGGACCAGGGGGCGCGGCUAAAGCCUGGGCACCAAGGGGCACUGUUUAAAAAGAAUCCAUGCUCGUAGUUGCUGUUUUGAGGCUUUUCACCCAAAGUGCUUCACAAGCUCAUGGAACAGCAGCGUGCGAACACACCUAAUGCACACCCAUGCGUGCACGCACACACACACACACGCACACACGUGCACACACGCACACACACGCGUGCAUGCCUCUGAGACUGCGGGGCGGUCGGCAGUCGCGUGCCCGGCAAGCUCCCCUCUCCCUGGGUGGCAGAGCCCCUCCGUGGGGGAGACAGAGGAGCCAGCUCGUCCAGCGCUGCCUUCAGCUCCGGUUCCUGCUGCCUACUGAGAAGUCGCCGCUUCCUGGAGGGGGACGGCCAUUUCCAGCCGUGUGCUUCCAACGGGAGGCAGGAUCAACUGAGGGAGGAGAAUCUCGUGGGUCAGCGAGAGCCAUGGGCAGCCGGGGGAGAGAGUGGUCUGCAGUCAAGUUCAGGGUGUGUUGGGAGGAGAGAGCGGGGGCGGGGGAGGGCUCAGAUGCCGGCCAUGGGUCCUCCUGUCCACGUGACCCCUGUUUAUCCCUGUCCAGCUCUGUCCCUCGCCACCACACCUGUGAACCUCCUGAUCCCUCGGCAAAAAACCACCCGAAUCAAGGAGCCACGGCCCGGAGCCAGAGGGGCAGACGCGGAGCUGCCUGGCUUCUCCAGGUAGUGGACCUGCACCUGCCGCCCUGUGCUGGCGCCACCACGGACCCUGGACCGAGGGGCCUUCCGUAGAAUCCAGGUGAGCAGACGGAGGUGUUUCUAGGACAGUGUUUUUCAGGACCCAUUUGGGGACAGGGCUGUGACAGUGGAGUUGGAGCCUGUGCCAUGCUGCUUGUCUAAACAAAGAAGUCUGACCUUGGAGCUCCGCUGAGAAAGGACAGGCUAUGCAAAGCACCCAUCUCCACCCUGUUAAAAAUGUCUGGGUGCUAGGCCAGGCUUCCUUGCUGGGCAGAGUGAGGACCUGGUCCCUGUGGGGCAGCCUGGCCACUAUUUGCAUAAACUGCUUCAGGCAUCUAAGAAGAGUGUUAGCAGUGAGUGGCCCUAAAGGUAGCUUUUCUUGGCUAGAUGCAGACUUGGCACUGACUCUGUGACCUCAUGCAAGUCUCUCAACCUCUCUGAUUCACAGUUUCUAAGUCUCUCAGCUAAGGAGCUGGGCUUGGGAAUGAAGGCCACCUUCAGGGCCUGUGGGCUGCACUCUGGGCCCGACAAACCUGCUCUGCGUGUUAUUCCAAUUCCGUG
This 1658-nucleotide long non-coding RNA is filed under the name Marmota monax (woodchuck). Lineage: Eukaryota; Metazoa; Chordata; Mammalia; Rodentia; Sciuridae. The record is from RNAcentral.